GCUGGCGGCGUGCCUAAUACAUGCAAGUCGAGCGGACCAAUAGAAAAGCUUGCUUUUCUUGAGGUUAGCGGCGGACGGGUGAGUAACACGUGGGCAACCUACCUGUAAGACUGGGAUAACUUACGGAAACGUGAGCUAAUACCGGAUAGUUUCACUUCUCGCAUGAGAAGUGAAGGAAAGAUGGCUUUUAGCUAUCACUUACAGAUGGGCCCGCGGCGCAUUAGCUAGUUGGUGGGGUAAAGGCCUACCAAGGCGACGAUGCGUAGCCGACCUGAGAGGGUGAUCGGCCACACUGGGACUGAGACACGGCCCAGACUCCUACGGGAGGCAGCAGUAGGGAAUCUUCCGCAAUGGACGAAAGUCUGACGGAGCAACGCCGCGUGAGCGAAGAAGGUCUUCGGAUCGUAAAGCUCUGUUGUUAGGGAAGAACAAGUACCGGAGUAACUGUCGGUACCUUGACGGUACCUAACCAGAAAGCCACGGCUAU
This 487-nucleotide ribosomal RNA is filed under the name bacterium SSCA26. Its description in RNAcentral is "bacterial SSU rRNA". It matches the Rfam family "Bacterial small subunit ribosomal RNA", at positions 35 to 500 of the family's 1533-position model. The record is from RNAcentral.